This 512-nucleotide long non-coding RNA is filed under the name Bos taurus (domestic cattle). RNAcentral's name for it is "long non-coding RNA NONBTAT013825". The record is from RNAcentral. Lineage: Eukaryota; Metazoa; Chordata; Mammalia; Artiodactyla; Bovidae.
GGCUCUGGAAUGCCGAAGUCCACCCCUCCUGUUCCUUCUCCCUUCUCUGGGCUCAAUAGAGAUUGAACACCUCUUUCUUUUCAAGCAGAGGUCAUUUGAAAGAGGAAAGGAUAAGUCAGUUUUUUCUGUAGCUUAACAUGUUGAUCAAGGCUCUCCCUGAUACUGAGAUCAUUGCAACCUGUAAGAGGCAUUGAUCAUUGACUUAAAGGAGUUUACAAAGGAAUUAAACAUCUUUGAUCUCUAAGAUUAUUUAAAUCUAAUGUGGUAAACAUAGGUGAUCCUGCUUUUUAUUUGUAGUGGUGGUAGAUUUUAAUGGGCAUGUUAGCAUCUGCUAACCAACAGUUGAUGUGUUUAUUAUUUUGAAUGUGACUGUGAUGUCAGGACCAUAAGUUACCUUUGGUGUUAUUCAAAUGUGUUAGUUUCUCUUAAGCAUAGCUGUUUCCAGUACUUCUUGCCUGGAACUAACUCAUUUUUCAUUUACAGCUGAUGAUACUAACUAGACCAGUUUAUCA